AAAGAUGAUCAGGUUGAUAGGUCAGAGGUGGAAGCGUGGUGACAUGUGGAGCUGACUGAUACUAAUCGAUCGAGGACUUAACCAAG
This 86-nucleotide ribosomal RNA is filed under the name Bacillus sp. MUM 116. RNAcentral describes it as "partial 23S ribosomal RNA". It matches the Rfam family "Bacterial large subunit ribosomal RNA", at positions 2840 to 2925 of the family's 2925-position model. Lineage: Bacteria; Bacillati; Bacillota; Bacilli; Caryophanales; Bacillaceae. The record is from RNAcentral.